RNAcentral lists this ribosomal RNA (253 nucleotides) under uncultured bacterium. Its description in RNAcentral is "partial 16S ribosomal RNA". It matches the Rfam family "Bacterial small subunit ribosomal RNA", at positions 524 to 776 of the family's 1533-position model. The record is from RNAcentral.
UACGGAGGGCGCGAGCGUUACCCGGAUUUACUGGGCGUAAAGGGCGUGUAGGCGGUCUGGGGCGUCCCAUGUGAAAGACCACGCCUCAACCGUGGGGGAGCGUGGGAUACGCUCAGGCUAGACGGCGGGAGAGGGUGGUGGAAUUCCCGGAGUAGCGGUGAAAUGCGCAGAUACCGGGAGGAACGCCGAUGGCGAAGGCAGCCACCUGGCUCGUUCGUGACGCUGAGGCGCGAAAGCGUGGGGAGCAAACCGG